RNAcentral lists this ribosomal RNA (406 nucleotides) under uncultured bacterium. Its description in RNAcentral is "partial 16S ribosomal RNA". It matches the Rfam family "Bacterial small subunit ribosomal RNA", at positions 30 to 526 of the family's 1533-position model. The record is from RNAcentral.
AUUGAACGCUGGCGGCAGGCCUAACACAUGCAAGUCGAACGAGUGGCGGACGGGUGAGUAAUGUCUGGGAAACUGCCCGCUGGAGGGGGAUAACUACUGGAAACGGUAGCUAAUACCGCAUACCAUCGGAUGUGCCCAGAGGGGAUUAGCUAGUCGGUGGGGUAACGGCUCACCUAGGCGACGAUCCCUAGCUGGUCUGAGAGGAUGACCAGCCAAACGGGGACGGAGACACGGUCCAGCGUCCUACGGGAGGCAGCAGUGGGGAAUAUUGAAAAAUGGGCGCAAGCCUGAUGCAGCCAUGCCGCGUGUAUGAAGAAGGCAUUCGGGUUGUAAAGUACUUUCAGCUAGGAGGCGUUACUCGCAGAAGAAGCACCGGCUAACUCCGUGCCAGCAGCCGCGGUAAUAC